CCCGCCACUAUGCCGGUCUGUCCCCGUGACCAGGUAUAAUCCAGUGGAGGCUCAGAGAGACCCGGCUUUAGGAAACAGGGCUGUCCACGCCAAUGGGCCACUCUGUGCCGAAAAGUCUGGUACAAAA
Small nucleolar RNA from Cheilinus undulatus (humphead wrasse), 127 nucleotides. RefSeq annotates it as small nucleolar RNA SNORA65. The transcript has a single exon. The record is from RefSeq and is a predicted model, not a curated record. Lineage: Eukaryota; Metazoa; Chordata; Actinopteri; Labriformes; Labridae.